This is a long non-coding RNA of Eupeodes corollae, 501 nucleotides long. RefSeq lists it as uncharacterized. The record is from RefSeq and is a predicted model, not a curated record. NCBI's taxonomy places the organism in Eukaryota, Metazoa, Arthropoda, Insecta, Diptera, Syrphidae. The transcript has 2 exons.
UUACUAAAAUCUUCAAUAUAACACCUCGAGCUAAUCAUAUCGUUGUUAAGUUAUUCAUUUCAAUCCCAACCGAGUCUGAAGCUGCUCUCCGAAAUGGAAUUUCGUGUUAUAUUUGCAAUUUUAAUUUCUUUCUCUUUCUUAAAUUCUGCUAUUGGCGUACCAACUACGACGACGUUGACGGAUCAAUCUUUGCACAAUAGAAUUCCCAGAGGAGUUGCACCAACUUUACAAAUUUUCAAAAGUGAUAAUCAGUGCAAUGGGGCAUCAAGUGAUCUCGUCAACUGUCGAAGAUUUUGUGUAGUAAGAAGAUUUCGAUACGGUGGAUGCAAUUUUGAAAGAAAUGCUUGCAUAUGUUCAGAUAAAAUGGAAAAUUUCGAAACAUAUAAUGGAGGAAAUCAAAUUUUUUUUAAAAAUUAGGAACUCUUGUAAACCAAUAAUAUAAUAUAUUUUUUUUUAAAUAAAUCUUCUUGACUUAGACAAUAAAAUAAUAAUAAUAAUGUA